Molecule: ribosomal RNA, 441 nt
Filed under: uncultured bacterium
Lineage: Bacteria
Description: partial 16S ribosomal RNA
Rfam family: Bacterial small subunit ribosomal RNA
Source: RNAcentral
CCUACGGGGGGCAGCAGUGGGGAAUAUUGCACAAUGGGGGAAACCCUGAUGCAGCGACGCCGCGUGAGUGAAGAAGUAUUUCGGUAUGUAAAGCUCUAUCAGCAGGAACGAGACAAGACGGUACCUGACUAAGAAGCCCCGGCUAACUACGUGCCAUCAGCCGCGGUAAUUCGGAGGGGGCAAGCGUUAUCCGGAUUUACUGGGUGUAAAGGGAGCGUAGACGGCAGCGCAAGUCUGGAGUGAAAUGCCGGGGCCCAACCCCGGAACUGCUCUGGAAACUGUGAAGCUGGAGUGCAGGAGAGGUAGGCGGAAUGCCUGGUGUAGCGGUGAAAUGCGUAGAUAUCAGGAGGAACACCGGCGGCGAAGGCGGCUUACUGGACUGUAACUGACGUUGAGGCUCGAAGGCGUGGGGAGCAAACAGGAUUAGAUACCCCAGUAGUC